GUAGACUGAAUAGCAGUACUUUCCCGUCUGAGCAGGCCAGAGCCAAGAGACCCAACCGGGGCAGGAGAGGAGCCUAAAGGGUAAAAGGUCCCAAGGCCCCAGAGCUGGAGCAGCCCAGGACCCGAAUGAAGCUGGCUCAGUGGGUGUGUCUCAUUCAUGUCAGGGCUGGAGAAAAGAGCCACAUAUUGCGAGGCUCCUGCCCCCUCUGGCACUGGGCACCAGUCCAGAGCCCAGAGCGGUCCCCCCGUGAAGAAGGACACAUCCCAGCGCUCUGGAUGUGCUGUGAUCGAGCUAAAUCUAGAGAAAAAUCAAAGAUGGGAUGAAGAAAGGAAUUAAUGAAAGAAUCAGAAAAAAGUGCGGAUGUGCAAUCUUCACCUGUUUAUUCGGUAGAGGGUGCCAUCUUCAGGUAGCCCUUCACGUUGUACAGAAAACAAUGGAGACUUCUCCUCCUGGGGCAGUGGUGUCACCCUUCCUAAGCUACAGAGAUGUUGCUUCAACUUACAGCUCAGAUAACAAGUGCCACUUCCAGGCUAAAGGAAUCCAUUCAGCAAACUCCCAGUAUGAAUGUUUCUGCUCUCGGCUGGAGAAACAGAAGAAGCAUUAAUGAAGGAGAGGGAUUCUACAGCAGCACAGUCCAAUAAAACUUUCUGUGGAGAUGGAAA
Pan troglodytes (chimpanzee) is the source of this 662-nucleotide long non-coding RNA. RefSeq lists it as uncharacterized. The transcript is spliced from 4 exons. The record is from RefSeq and is a predicted model, not a curated record. NCBI's taxonomy places the organism in Eukaryota, Metazoa, Chordata, Mammalia, Primates, Hominidae.